CACAAUUCUUUCAUGAUCAACGUCUCGGUACGAUCUUGCGUGGCUUCUAGUCCCCUGUCGACGAGCGACAAUCACCUUCCCAGAGCGCUGCUGCAAUUGGUUCAUCGGAUAGCCGCCAUGUCUGGCCUCGAACGCUUCUACUCGAGAAAGCAGAG
Long non-coding RNA from Frieseomelitta varia, 155 nucleotides. RefSeq lists it as uncharacterized. The record is from RefSeq and is a predicted model, not a curated record. NCBI's taxonomy places the organism in Eukaryota, Metazoa, Arthropoda, Insecta, Hymenoptera, Apidae. The transcript is spliced from 2 exons.